Molecule: long non-coding RNA, 219 nt
Organism: Coregonus clupeaformis (lake whitefish)
Lineage: Eukaryota; Metazoa; Chordata; Actinopteri; Salmoniformes; Salmonidae
Exons: 3
Source: RefSeq, a predicted model, not a curated record
CCCUGGUCCGACAAACCUAACUUCAACCCGCAGAACCUCCAGGGUGGGUUCCACAACAAGAACCCUCCCCCACCAUAACCAGAGGGCUGCGUUUGGGUCCAACACCAAGCUGACGGUCCGACAGAUCCCACCGGAACUCAACAACAUCUCCAAGCUUAACCAACACUUCAGCAAGUUCGGGACGAUCGUCAACUUACAGGUGACCUAUGGUAGUGACCG